AGGCGUGUGAGAGGCGUGUAGGGUGCUCCCGAACCCCCCCCACGCGUGUGCGGAGGCGUGUGGGAGGCGUGUGGGAGGCGUGUGCUCACGGGAGGAGGCGGCGGUGGCGGGCCAGGGCGCGGAGCAGGGCGCGGGCGCCGCCGCGGUGGAAGUGCAGGGCGGGCGGACACGUGCCGUCACGCGUGACCAGCACCAGGAAGGGGACGCCGAGGCCCCGGCGCCCGCGGCGCACGGCCCGCAGCUCCGCCAGGCCCAGCCGGAAGCCCCAGGGGCCCCCGGCCGGCGCUGCGGGGGGCGCACACGCGUGUCACACGCGUGUCGCAGGCAUGUCACACGCGUGUCGCAGGCGUGUCGCUCUGCCUACGCCGCCCCCAGGGCCCCCCAGGCCGCCCCCACGCGGUCCCGUGUCCUCGAGCGUCCUGCGUCCCCCGCUCGUCCCGUGUCCCCCACGUGUCCCGUGUUCCACGCGUGUCCCCCACGUGUCCCACGGCCCCGCGCGUCCUGAGUCCCCGCGCGUCCCGUGUUCCAUGUGUGUCCCGUGUCCCCAUGUGUCCCGUGUCCCGUGUCCCCUGCGUGUCCCAUGUCCCCCACAUGUCCCGUGUCCCCCACACAUCCCGUGUCCCACGCAUGUCCCAUGUCCCCACGCGUCCCCCAUGCCCCACGCGUCCCAUGUCCCCGUGUCCCAUGUUCCCACAAGUCUCCCAUGCCCAACACAUGUCCCGUGUCCCCAAACGCAUCGUGUCCCGUGUCCCCGUGCCCCCAUGUCCCUGCAUGUCCCAUGUCCCCACGCGUCCCCUGUGCCCCACACAUGUCCCAUGUCCCCCACGUGUCCCGUGUCCCCGCUCUCCCUGUGUCAGCACACCCCAUAUGUCCCGUGUCCCCAAAUGCGUCCCGUGUCCCCACACGUCCCGCGUCCCCAUGUGUCCCAUGUCCCCACAUGCGUCCCGUGCCCGUGUCCCCCCACGCCCCUGUGUCCCAUGCGUGUCCCACGUCCCCCCAUGUCCCCACACGCGUCCCGUGUCCCAUGCAUGUCCCACGUCCCCCGUGUCCCCCC
RNAcentral lists this long non-coding RNA (1054 nucleotides) under Apteryx haastii (Great spotted kiwi). RNAcentral describes it as "lncRNA (ENSAHAG00000000577.1)". Lineage: Eukaryota; Metazoa; Chordata; Aves; Apterygiformes; Apterygidae. The record is from RNAcentral.